UUCCUACGGGGGGCUGCAGUAGGGAAUCUUGCGCAAUGGGCGAAAGCCUGACGCAGCCAUGCCGCGUGAAUGAUGAAGGUCUUAGGAUUGUAAAAUUCUUUCACCGGGGACGAUAAUGACGGUACCCGGAGAAGAAGCUCCGGCUAACUUCGUGCCAGCAGCCGCGGUAAUACGAAGGGGGCUAGCGUUGCUCGGAAUUACUGGGCGUAAAGGGCGCGUAGGCGGAUAGUUAAGUCAGAGGUGAAAGCCCAGGGCUCAACCUUGGAACUGCCUUUGAUACUGGCUGUCUUGAGUUCGGGAGAGGUGAGUGGAAUGCCGAGUGUAGAGGUGAAAUUCGUAGAUAUUCGGCGGAACACCAGUGGCGAAGGCGACUCACUGGCCCGAUACUGACGCUGAGGCGCGAAAGCGUGGGGAGCAAACAGGAUUAGAUACCCGUGUAGUCCC
Molecule: ribosomal RNA, 444 nt
Filed under: uncultured Phenylobacterium sp.
Lineage: Bacteria; Pseudomonadati; Pseudomonadota; Alphaproteobacteria; Caulobacterales; Caulobacteraceae
Description: bacterial SSU rRNA
Rfam family: Bacterial small subunit ribosomal RNA
Source: RNAcentral